RNAcentral lists this ribosomal RNA (506 nucleotides) under uncultured bacterium. Its description in RNAcentral is "partial 16S ribosomal RNA". It matches the Rfam family "Bacterial small subunit ribosomal RNA", at positions 29 to 523 of the family's 1533-position model. The record is from RNAcentral.
AGUGAACGCUGGCGGUAGGCCUAACACAUGCAAGUCGAACGGCAGCACAGGAGAGCUUGCUCUCUGGGUGGCGAGUGGCGGACGGGUGAGGAAUACAUCGGAAUCUACUCUGUCGUGGGGGAUAACGUAGGGAAACUUACGCUAAUACCGCAUACGACCUACGGGUGAAAGCAGGGGACCUUCGGGCCUUGCGCGAUUGAAUGAGCCGAUGUCGGAUUAGCUAGUUGGCGGGGUAAAGGCCCACCAAGGCGACGAUCCGUAGCUGGUCUGAGGGGAUGAUCAGCCACACUGGAACUGUGACACGGUCCAGACUCCCACGGGAGGCAGCAGUGGGGAAUAUUGGACAAUGGGCGCAAGCCUGAUCCAGCCAUACCGCGUGGGUGAAGAAGGCCUUCGGGUUGUAAAGCCCUUUUGUUGGGAAAGAAAUCCAGCUGGCUAAUACCCGGUUGGGAGGACGGUACCCAAAGAAUAAGCACCGGCUAACUUCGUGCCAGCAGCCGCCGUAA